RNAcentral lists this long non-coding RNA (262 nucleotides) under Anas platyrhynchos (mallard). Its description in RNAcentral is "lncRNA (ENSAPLG00020013826.1)". The record is from RNAcentral. Lineage: Eukaryota; Metazoa; Chordata; Aves; Anseriformes; Anatidae.
CUGGAGGCAGAAAAUGUCGGCGCUGCUGGAGAGCCCCCGCACUUAUGCCGAGGGCAUGUGCCUCCUGACGAGUGUCCUGCUCCGUGCCCAGCUCAUCUCCCGGGAGCUGAUUGAGAUCUUCUCCCAGUGGCUGCGCUACCCAUCAGCAAACCUGCAGCUGACAGCCAUGGCUUUCUUUGCUGAGCUGAUGAAGGAGCCGCCUCUUGAGAAGAGGAACGUCCUGAAGACUCUGCGUGUCUUGGCUGAGAAAGCACACCACCGA